This 501-nucleotide ribosomal RNA is filed under the name uncultured bacterium. Its description in RNAcentral is "bacterial SSU rRNA". It matches the Rfam family "Bacterial small subunit ribosomal RNA", at positions 30 to 524 of the family's 1533-position model. The record is from RNAcentral.
AUUGAACGCUGGCGGCAUGCUUUACACAUGCAAGUCGAACGGGCUUGGGGGCUUGCUCCCAAGUUAGUGGCGAACGGGUGAGUAAUACAUCGGAACGUACCGUGUAGUGGGGGAUAACGUAGCGAAAGUUACGCUAAUACCGCAUACAAUCUACGGAUGAAAGCAGGGGACCUUCGGGCCUUGUGCUAUACGAGCGGCCGAUGUCUGAUUAGCUAGUUGGUGAGGUAAAGGCUCACCAAGGCGACGAUCAGUAGCGGGUCUGAGAGGAUGAUCCGCCACACUGGGACUGAGACACGGCCCAGACUCCUACGGGAGGCAGCAGUGGGGAAUUUUUGGGACAAUGGGCGAAAGCCUGAUCCAGCCAUGCCGCGUGUCUGAAGAAGGCCUUAGGGUUGUAAAGGACUUUUGUCAGGGAGCAAAACUUACUGGUUAAUACCCGGUGAGGCUGAGAGUACCUGAAGAAUAAGCACCGGCUAACUACGUGCCAGCAGCCGCGGUAAU